Non-coding RNA from Hyla sarda, 148 nucleotides. RefSeq annotates it as small Cajal body-specific RNA 1. The record is from RefSeq and is a predicted model, not a curated record. Lineage: Eukaryota; Metazoa; Chordata; Amphibia; Anura; Hylidae. The transcript has a single exon.
GUGCACUUGAUACUUACCUAGAUAUCUGCUCUGGUUCAUCUCCAGGGUAUCCGUGGUAUCUGGGUCCUAGAAGUGCUAUAGUAAAUGCCGUAAGAAUUUAAGCUCAGUGUGUGGAGUGACACUCUGGGUUAUAACUUAUUGUACAGAU